UCCUCGUUAGCUCAAGUUGGUAGAGCAGUCCCAAGAUUCGGGAUAAGCACAGGUUCGAUUCCUGUACGAGGAGCCA
This 76-nucleotide transfer RNA is filed under the name Salmonella phage PVPSE1. Its description in RNAcentral is "tRNA-Ile". It matches the Rfam family "tRNA". From Rfam's summary of the family: Transfer RNA (tRNA) molecules are approximately 80 nucleotides in length. Their secondary structure includes four short double-helical elements and three loops (D, anti-codon, and T loops). Further hydrogen bonds mediate the characteristic L-shaped molecular structure. tRNAs have two regions of fundamental functional importance: the anti-codon, which is responsible for specific mRNA codon recognition, and the 3' end, to which the tRNAs corresponding amino acid is attached (by aminoacyl-tRNA synthetases). tRNAs cope with the degeneracy of the genetic code in two manners: having more than one tRNA (with a specific anti-codon) for a particular amino acid; and 'wobble' base-pairing, i.e. permitting non-standard base-pairing at the 3rd anti-codon position. The record is from RNAcentral. RNAcentral also lists the same sequence under 2 other names. Lineage: Duplodnaviria; Heunggongvirae; Uroviricota; Caudoviricetes.